GAGGGUAUAGCUCAAGUGGUAGAGCACAUGCUUAGCAUGCAUGAGGUCCUGGGUUCAACCCCUAGUACCGUCU
RNAcentral lists this transfer RNA (73 nucleotides) under Camelus bactrianus (Bactrian camel). It matches the Rfam family "tRNA". From Rfam's summary of the family: Transfer RNA (tRNA) molecules are approximately 80 nucleotides in length. Their secondary structure includes four short double-helical elements and three loops (D, anti-codon, and T loops). Further hydrogen bonds mediate the characteristic L-shaped molecular structure. tRNAs have two regions of fundamental functional importance: the anti-codon, which is responsible for specific mRNA codon recognition, and the 3' end, to which the tRNAs corresponding amino acid is attached (by aminoacyl-tRNA synthetases). tRNAs cope with the degeneracy of the genetic code in two manners: having more than one tRNA (with a specific anti-codon) for a particular amino acid; and 'wobble' base-pairing, i.e. permitting non-standard base-pairing at the 3rd anti-codon position. RNAcentral also lists the same sequence under 2 other names. The record is from Rfam by way of RNAcentral. Lineage: Eukaryota; Metazoa; Chordata; Mammalia; Artiodactyla; Camelidae.